This 162-nucleotide ribosomal RNA is filed under the name uncultured bacterium. RNAcentral's name for it is "partial 16S ribosomal RNA". It matches the Rfam family "Bacterial small subunit ribosomal RNA", at positions 355 to 509 of the family's 1533-position model. The record is from RNAcentral.
UAGGGAAUUUUCGUCAAUGGGCGCAAGCCUGAACGAGCAAUGCCGCGUGAGUGAGGAAGGUCUUCGGACUGUAAAGCUCUGUUGCCGGGGAAAAGGGGGAAAUGCAGGAAAUGGCAUUUCAUGGAUGGUACCCGGCCAGAAAGCCACGGCUAACUACGUGCC